This 253-nucleotide ribosomal RNA is filed under the name uncultured bacterium. Its description in RNAcentral is "partial 16S ribosomal RNA". It matches the Rfam family "Bacterial small subunit ribosomal RNA", at positions 524 to 776 of the family's 1533-position model. The record is from RNAcentral.
UACGGAGGGCGCAAGCGUUGUUCGGAAUCACUGGGCGUAAAGCGCGUGUAGGCGGCUUGGCAAGUCGGGUGUGAAAGCCCGGAGCUCAACUCCGGAAUUGCAUUCGAAACUGCCUCGCUCGAGUCCCGGAGAGGGUGGUGGAAUUCCCGGUGUAGAGGUGAAAUUCGUAGAUAUCGGGAGGAACACCAGUGGCGAAGGCGGCCACCUGGACGGUGACUGACGCUGAGACGCGAAAGCGUGGGGAGCAAACAGG